UUGGAGGGCAAGUCUGGUGCCAGCAGCCGCGGUAAUUCCAGCUCCAAUAGCGUAUAUUAAAGUUGUUGCAGUUAAAAAGCUCGUAGUUGAAUUUCGGGAUCAAUUAGUCGGUCGUGCCUCUGGUACGUACUGGUUUUAUUGGUUCCUCCCUUCUGACGAAACAUGAUGUCAUUAAUUUGGUGUCGUGGAGAAUCAGGACUGUUACCUUGAAAAAAUUAGAGUGUUUAUAGCAGGCUAACGCUUGAAUACAUUAGCAUGGAAUAAUGAAAUAGGACGUUCGACCCUAUUUUGUUGGUUUCUAGGAUCGACGUAAUGAUUAAUAGGGAUAGUUGGGGGCAUUAGUAUUCAAUUGUCAGAGGUGAAAUUCUUGGAUUUAUUGAAGACUAGCUACUGCGAAAGCAUUUGCCAAGGAUGUUUUCAUUAAUCAAGAACGAAAGUUAGGGGAUCGAAGACGAUCAGAUACCGUCGUAGUCUUAACCAUAAACUAUGCCGACUAGGGAUCGGAUGAUGUUAAUUUUUUAAUGACUCAUUCGGCGCCUUACGGGAAAC
This 549-nucleotide ribosomal RNA is filed under the name uncultured Glomus. Its description in RNAcentral is "SSU rRNA". It matches the Rfam family "Eukaryotic small subunit ribosomal RNA", at positions 548 to 1098 of the family's 1831-position model. Lineage: Eukaryota; Fungi; Glomeromycota; Glomeromycetes; Glomerales; Glomeraceae. The record is from RNAcentral.